UACCCCGCCUGGGGAGUACGGCCGCAAGGCUAAAACUCAAAGAUAUUGACGGGGGCCCGACAAGCGGCGGAGCAUGUGGAUUAAUUCGAUGCAACGGAAGAACCUUACCUGGGUAUGCAGGACGUGCCUAGAGAUAGGUAUUCCCUUAGUGGCCUGUGUGCANGUGGUGCAUGGCUGUCGUCAGUCGUGUCGUGGAGAUGUUGGGUAAAGUCCCGCAACGAGCGCACGAGCGCAACCCUUAU
This 242-nucleotide ribosomal RNA is filed under the name Mycobacterium sp. enrichment culture clone 'DGGE gel band B5'. RNAcentral's name for it is "partial 16S ribosomal RNA". It matches the Rfam family "Bacterial small subunit ribosomal RNA", at positions 865 to 1115 of the family's 1533-position model. The record is from RNAcentral. Lineage: Bacteria; Bacillati; Actinomycetota; Actinomycetes; Mycobacteriales; Mycobacteriaceae.